RNAcentral lists this ribosomal RNA (541 nucleotides) under uncultured bacterium. RNAcentral describes it as "bacterial SSU rRNA". It matches the Rfam family "Bacterial small subunit ribosomal RNA", at positions 61 to 648 of the family's 1533-position model. The record is from RNAcentral.
GUCGAACGAGACCUUCGGGUCUAGUGGCGCACGGGUGCGUAACGCGUGGGAAUCUACCCUUUGCUACGGAAUAACUCAGAGAAAUUUGUGCUAAUACCGUAUAAUGUCACAAGACCAAAGAUUUAUCGGCAGAGGACGAGCCCGCGUAAGAUUAGCUAGUUGGUGGGGUAAAGGCUCACCAAGGCGACGAUCUUUAGCUGGUCUGAGAGGAUGAUCAGCCACACUGGGACUGAGACACGGCCCAGACUCCUACGGGAGGCAGCAGUGGGGAAUAUUGGACAAUGGGCGAAAGCCUGAUCCAGCAAUGCCGCGUGAGUGAUGAAGGCCUUAGGGUUGUAAAGCUCUUUUACCAGGGAUGAUAAUGACAGUACCUGGAGAAUAAGCUCCGGCUAACUCCGUGCCAGCAGCCGCGGUAAUACGGAGGGAGCUAGCGUNGUUCGGAAUUACUGGGCGUAAAGCGUGCGUAGGCGGUUAUACAAGUCAGAGGUGAAAGCCUGGAGCUCAACUCCAGAACUGCCUUUGAAACUAGAUAACUAGAAUC